AAAGUCGUAACAAGGUUUCCGUAGGUGAACCUGCGGAAGGAUCAUUAACACAAUAAUAUCCAAACCUUUUGGAUCAACCCAACCUUUGCGAACUGUUUUCUCUUCACUUUAAUUUAAUUUUUCUAAAACUCUUUCUGAUUUGUAAUAUGUCUGAUCUUUUUUUCGAGUUGAAAAACUUGAAAAAGAAAAUUCUAACGUAAUACAACUCUUAACAACGGAUAUCUUGGCUCUC
Molecule: unclassified non-coding RNA, 232 nt
Filed under: Basidiomycota sp.
Lineage: Eukaryota; Fungi; Basidiomycota
Description: partial contains small subunit ribosomal RNA, internal transcribed spacer 1, and 5.8S ribosomal RNA
Rfam family: Eukaryotic small subunit ribosomal RNA (bases 1-47)
Source: RNAcentral